GUUUAAAGCAGUUGUAAAAGAUUGAAGUUGGAAAAUUUAGAUAGAUAGAAUAGAUAUAUUGAUGCUAGCAUGUUUCUAGCAUGAUUAGCAUUUUGCUACCAUCUUGUUAGCAUGGUUCUAGCAUGAUUAGCUUGUUUAAUUUAUUUGCAAUUCUGUUUUUUUUUUUUCGUUGCAUUAUGAAACUGUGCAAUUAAAUGUGUAACGUCUUUUAAAUGUAACCACUCUUUAUUCAAACGCAACAAUUAUUUACAGAAUUUUAAAACAAAACAAAAAAUAGAAAGAAAAAUUCCUAUGAAUUCUGUUUGGUCAGACAAUACAAUUUGAAUCAUUCCACAUUGUGAGAUUUGCUCUUUUAUGAAUCAGAGGCAACAAUUUGACAUCAAACAAAACUGCGAUCAAUGACACAGUAAUGAAACCAAACGACAUUUUUUAAAGUAACGAAAUGAAAUGCCUCUACCAAAAGGCUGUCGAAUUACACAUGCAUACACGCACACAUCCCGUUCCACUCAAACGAUGUGAAAUUACAUUCAAAACAUGUAUUAUUAACAGUCCUAUGUGCUAGUUUAGAACUGUAGUCGAAGCAGUAGGAAGAUGAGAUAUUAUGAAAAAGGACUUAAUGUGCGUCAGGAACUCAGAGUGAGUGUAGAAAUGAUAUUUGUGCUGACUUUCUGUACUGUGAAUGUGUUUGUGAAGUUCAUCCGGUUCUCAAGAUGUGGGUAGUUACAACGUCCUGCUCCCAUGUAAAGCAGUUCACAGUAGCUUCACGCAAGUUCACUGCCGGCUGCAGGGGCGUGUUCAGAUGACUUCAGGAGGGUGCUUAAAACUGCAUAUGAAAAACCAAAUAAACAUCCAUGUCAAAAAUACAGUAAGACGUUUACAUCAGUAUCAUGUGACUGUAGUUUAUGACUGUGCUUCUGGUUUCCCUUCAGGACACGGCUGGACAUCACAUGUCGACCAGCACAGUACUGGAAUUGUUUAUUCGUUGUAUAAAAAUAAACAAGAUGUCUUUAUAAUCAAGCACUGAAUUCUGUUAAUAUUAUCACGAACUGAACAGGCCUUGUUUUUUAGGUGAGAGAUCAGACAUGGUUGGGGUUCUGGUUGGUUGCUAGGGUGUUGUUGGAGGUUCUGAGUGGUUAAUAGGGUGUUGCUAGGUAAUCGUUACAGGGUUUUGGGUGAUUACUAAAUAGUUCUCAAGGAGUUCUGGUUGGUUGCUAGGGUGUUGUUGGUGGUUAUUAGGGUGUUGCUAGGUAGUCAUUAGAGGUUUCUGAGUGGUCUUUACGUAGUUGUUAGAGGUUGUGUUUCUAGGUGGCUGCUAGGUAGUCAUUACGGGGUUUUGGGUGAUUACUAAAUAGUUGUCAAGGGGUUCUGGGUGGUUGCUAGGUAGUUGUUGGAGGUUCUGAGUGGUUACUAGGGUGUUGCUAGGUAGUCAUUACAGGGUUUUGGGUGAGUACUAAAUAGUUGUCAAGGGGUUCUGGGUGGUUGCUAGGUAGUUGUUGGAGGUUCUGAGUGGUUACUAGGGUGUUGCUAGGUAAUCAUUAAGGGGUUCUGGGUGGUCACUAGGUAGUUGUUGGAGUUUUUGAGUGGUUACUAGGGUGUUGCUAGGUAAUUGCUAAGGGGUUCUGGGUGGUUGCUGGGUAGUUAGAGGUGACAUCAGCAGCAAAAGAUAUGGACAGUGUUUCCCUUCUAAGAAUGCAUACAACAGAAUGUAAUUUCUCCCUUUUAAGAAUUUGUAAGUCUAUUUUGUUGUCCAAAUUCUGCAGAAAUAGUUGUAUUUCAUUAUUUGCUUUCAUCACAGUUUCUCCUUGCUGAGCAGAUCUGAGACCCACCAGUUGAGAAGCACCUGUUUAUGGCCAUACAAAGUCCAUCAAGUGCCAUACAAAUACAUAAAUAUCAAUGAAAACCAUGAUUUCAAGGUGAAAACGAGCAGUGAAUGGCUCACCCUCAGGGUUCUGUGUGCCGUUCUCUUCUUUGGCACUCUCUGGAUCACCUGAAGACAAAGCAUAUGUUCUCAUUCAACAGUUACCAUACUAGCUGCUUUAUCUAUGACUUUUACUUGGUUAUAUUUGGUGACUUUAUCUGUUUGUUUAUUUUUUUUCUGACACACUGGUGUUAUAUCUUUCACUUGGAUCUUAUAAGUUGCAUUGAGAAAAUAUUGCUGGAUAUAAAAAAAAAACUGUGUCCGUCUUCGUUUCAGGCUGCAAAGCAACAAAAUGUGAUUAUUUUUAAGGGGGCUGAUUCUUUUCUAUACCCACUGUACAUGCAUAAAUGGUCAAAUAUACACAAAAAUCUCAAAAUGUGCGUCUGGGCAAGUACAAACCCGAUUCCAAAAAAGUUGGGACACUGUACAAAUUGUGAAUAAAAACAGAAUGCAAUGAUGUGGAAGUUUCAAAUUUCAAUAUUUUAUUCAGAAUACAACAUAGAUGACAUAUCAAAUGUUUAAACUGAGAAAAUGUAUCAUUUUAAGGGAAAAAUAAGUUGAUUUUAAAUUUCAUGGCAUCAGCACAUCUCAAAAAAGUUGGGACAAGGCCAUGUUUACCACUGUGUGGCAUCCCCUCUUCUUUUUAUAACAGUCUGCAAACGUCUGGGGACAGAGGAGACAAGUCUCUCAAGUUUAGGAAUAGGAAUGUUGUCCCAUUCUUGUCUAAUACAGGCUUCUAGUUGCUCAACUGUCUUAGGUCUUCUUUGUGGCAUCUUCCUCUUUAUGAUGCACCAAAUGUUUUCUAUGGGUGAAAGAUCUGGACUGCAGGCUGGCCAUUUCAGUACCCGGAUCCUUCUUCUACACAGCCAUGAUGCUGUAAUUGAUGCACUAUGUGGUCUGGCAUUGUCAUGUUGGAAAAUGCAAGGUCUUCCCUGAAAGAGAUGACGUCUGGAUGGGAGCAUAUGUUGUUCUAGAACUUGGAUAUACCUUUCAGCAUUGAUGGUGCCUUUCCAGAUGUGUAAGCUGCCCAUGCCACACGCACUCAUGCAACCCCAUACCAUCAGAGAUGCAGGCUUCUGAACUGAGCGCUGAUAACAACUUGGGUUGUCCUUGUCCUCUUUAGUCCGGAUGACAUGACGUCCCAGUUUUCCAAAAAGAACUUCAAAUUUUGAUUCGUCUGACCACAGAACAGUUUUUCACUUUGCCACAAUCCAUUUUAAAUGAGCCUUGGCCCAGAGAAAACGCCUGCGCUUCUGGAUCAUGUUUAGAUAUGGCUUAUUUUUUGACCUAUAGAGUUUUAGCCGGCAACGGCGAAUGGCACGGUGGAUUGUGUUCACCGACAAUGUUUUCUGGAAGUAUUCCUGAGCCCAUGUUGUGAUUUCCAUUACAGUAGCAUUCCUGCUAUUUGAUUCUCUGAAUCUUUGGAUGAUAUUAUGCACUGUAGAUGAUGAUAACUUCAAACUCUUUGCAAUUUUUCUCUGAGAAACUCCUUUCUGAUAUUGCUCCACUAUUUUUCGCCGCAGCAUUGGGGGAAUUGGUGAUCCUCUGCCCAUCUUGACUUCUGAGAGACACUGCCACUCUGAGAGGCUCUUUUUAUACCCAAUCAUGUUGCCAAUUGACCUAAUAAGUUGCAAGUUGGUCCUCCAGCUGUUUCUUAUAUGUACAUUUAACUUUUCCGGCCUCUUCUUGCUACCUGUCCCAACUUUUUUGGAAUGUGUAGCUCUCAUGAAAUCCAAAAUGAGCCAAUAUUUGGCAUGACAUUUCAAAAUGUCUCACUUCCAACAUUUGAUAUGUUAUCUGUAUUCUAUUGUGAAUAAAAUAUAAGUUUAUGAGAUUUUUAAAUUAUUCCAUUCCUUUUUUACUCACAAUUUGUACAGUGUCCCAACUUUUUUGGAAUCGGGUUUGUAUUUACAUAAAGGGUGUCAGUUAUGUCUUAAGUGGAUAAUUAAGUGUAAUUGAUGUUAUGAUCAUGAUAUGAUAUUUUGGAAAGAGUCCCCAUCCCUAGCCACUAGUGGCACCAAACAAAAUAACAAAGAUAAUGAUUUCAUUCAGAGUGUGUGAUGCAUGAACAUACAGUAUGACUGUUUUCAAACAGGUUUCCUUAACUAUUAGACCUGCUCCAAACUCCACAUUAUUGGUUAAGCAAAUGUUAUGUUGAGACCAAGUAGAAAAAGACAUUUGAUGGCCCAGAAACAGCACAACUCUCCUGUUGUGUUUUAGACUGUUAGUGUUUUAGAUUUCAUAUAUAUAAAUCAUGUGUCAGCACAUGUAACUAUGACUGUGUUUUACUGAUUCACAUCUGAAUGUGUUCUAGAGCAUGCAGAGCCACACACCUCUCUGGACCUUGAAGCACAGUUUCUUCUUCUGGUAGGUGAAGUAUCCGAUUAUGGCACCAACAGCUGCUACUGCAAUCCCACAAACAACACCAACAACCGUACCAGAUCCACUGUCUGCAACAGAACCACCCACACCAGGUCAACAAGUCAAAGCAGGUAUUCACAGUCGUGUCACUAUGUGGCUAUAUGGUCACUCGAGUGUUCUGGGUGGUUGCUAGGGAGUUGUUAGGGAGUUCUGAGUGGUUGCCAGGGAGUUGUUAGGGAGUUCUGUGUGGUUAUUAGGGAUAUGCUAGGGAGUUCUGGGUGGUUGCUAGGGAGAUGCUAGGGAGUUCUGGGUGGUUUCUAGGAAGUUCAUAGGUAGUUGCAAGCAGUGCGGGGUAGUAAUCUGGAUUACGUAAUCAGAUUCCAAAAAUUAAAAUUACUUGUAAUUAGAUUGCAUUAUAAAUUACUCGUAAUUAGACUACAGUUACUUUUUUGUUGAUUAUAUGAUUAAAAAAUUAUUCACAUAAUUGCAAUUAAUCUUCAUAAUUUAUGUAUUCUCCCUAUUUCUUUUUUUCUUUAUCUUUUAAAUUCAUUUUUAAAAUAGCCUACCACUUAUAUACAUUCAGAAAACACAUAUAGAUAAUUAUAUGCAUUGGGAAACCUUGACACGAUGUAACGUUUAUUGCACUUCAUGUUGUUAGAUUUCCCCCAUGUCUCUCUGAUCUUCAGGUCUGUAGAUGUGGCUCGGGUCCCCUCCUUGAAAGCAAGUCUGUGGGAUUUUUUAACCUGUUUUAUUGUCCAGCAGGUGAAAAUAUUUGGGUCACUUAUUAAUAUUUAUGCUUAGUGUUUUGAACAAACCACUAACACUGAGCACUAGUAACAGUGAUGCUUGACUUAACAAGCACCAGUGAUAACACAAUCAGACACAAAGAUCUGCUCAUUCCUCAUUCUGCUUCAUGUGUUCACUAAAGUCAACAAACACAUAUCAGUUGUUAAAAUCCCUGUUUAUUUUUUAUAAUAUCAGUGAAUAAGAAGAAACAAGAGAUUCAGAUAACGGUCCACUAGAUGGCAGUAUUAUACUGGAACCACUUCAGGUUUAUAUUGGAGCCUAUUUCUGCCACAUAAAAAAAAAAAUAAUAAUAAUAAUAAUAAUUAUAAUAAUUUGAUAAAUCAUAAUUGACAAAAUAAUCUUUAAAAUUGUUUAAAUUAAAUAAAUGAAAUACAAUUAUGAGAUAAAAGUCUAAAUUAUGGAAUACUAAGUCAUAACUGAGUUUAAGUAGUCAAUUAUGACAAAAAAGUCAAUAUUAUGACAUACUACGGAGGCGACAGGCGACAGGCAAGACUGAACCUGACUUACAGAUCCUGCAGGGGAUGAAAGAGAGCGAAAGUGCUGCCCGCAGAACAAAAGACGCUCAACAGGAGUUUAUUUACUUAGUGACACAUAAGAACCAUGAGAGGAGACAUCGCUUGGAAAAACUGACCCAUGAUUAUCCUGUCAUCAUUUACUCACUCAUGUCCCUCCAUUCACAUUUCUACAUUUAGCAGAUUUAAAGUGACUUUAAAGAGGAACAAAAGAGCCAACAAUAUUCACCAUAUAUUCUAUCUAACAUGCUUUAUGGAAGAAAGGAAAUGAUAAGGGUAAUUUAGAUUAGAUUAGAUUUAACGCAAUGACAAUAAAGUUUGAUCUAAUCUAAAUUACUCUUAUGUCCUUUCUUUCAUAAAACAUGUUAGCUGAUAUUAGUCAGAAUGUUUGUUUUAUAAUGUUAAUCUCUAAAAGCAUGUUUCAUAAUUAAGACUUUAUGUUUCAUAAUUAUGGCAUUUUAUGUCAUAAUUUUGAUUUGAGAUUUCUACUUUUUCUCAAAAUUAUGACUUUUUAAAUGUCAUAUUUUGUUUUUCUUAAUCUCAUAACUGACAUUUUGUCAUAAUUUCGAAUUUUUUUAUUAUUUCAAUCUAGAUUUUUUUUUCCUCUAAAAAAAGUCUUACUUUGAGAUUUUUUAACCUAUAUUUUAAACUUUUAUUAUGACAUGUCGCAAACCCAUAUUAUUUUCAUCAUUUAGACUUUUUUUUUUAAUGAUUAUGACAUUUUGUCAACUUUUUCAUCUCAUGAUGAUGUUUUUGUCAUAAUUUCGAUUUCUCAUAAUUACAUUUUUUACUUCUCUUAUAGUUGACAUUUUGUUAUAAUUUUGACUUUUAUCUACUAAUUUAAACCUCAUAAUUUUAAUUUUGUAAUAAUUUUGACUUUUCAACAAAAAAGUUUGUUUUAUAACAUCAAUUCUAUUCAUGAUUUAGACUUAUUAUUUAAUAAUUAUAUUUUAUGCCAUAAUUCCAAAAUGUUUACUUUUUUAUCCAUAAUUAUGACUUUUUUACAUUUUAUCUGGUAAUUUUGUCUGGUUUUGUCAUCAUUAUGAUUUUUUUUAUUUCAACGUGUCACUCCAAACCAUAUUAAUUUCUUUCUUCCAUGAAACAUGUUAGAUGAUCAUGUCAGAAUGUUUGUGCUUUAUUACGUCAAUCCAUAAAAUGGCAUGGUGGCAGUUUCACAUCACUGCUUCCUGCCUGCGUAGAAAGCAAACGUGACGUGUUUAGCAGCUGAUCACUAUUUGUUCUGAACACAUGAAGCAGAAGAAGGAAUGAGCAGAUCUUUUGUGUCUGUUAGACUGGGUGGGACGGCAGGUAUUACAGAUGAUCAACUCAUGCUGGAAAUGAUGAUCGUGUUAUUACUUUUUUUUUUUUAAGUCAAGCAUCACUGUUACUAGUGCUCAGUGCUAGGAGUUUGUUCAAAACACUAAGCAUUAGUACUUAUAAGUGACCCUAAAUAUUUUCACCUGCUGGACAAAAAAAAAAUGGGUUUAAAAAAAUCUCACAGGCUUACUUUGAAGGAGGGAACCGAGCCACAUCUACAGACCUGAAGAUAAGAGUGUUGUGAGGGGUGAAGUACCUAGAACUCCCUAACAGCUACCUAGCAACUACGCAGAACCCUCUAAUGACCCCAAGCAACACCCUAGUAACCACCCCGAACCGCUAACAACAAAAAUCCACCCAGAACCAUCUAAUGACUUCUAGCAACACCCUAGUAACCACCCAGAACCCCCUAAGAACUACAUAGCAACCACCCAGAACCCUC
Cyprinus carpio carpio is the source of this 7357-nucleotide long non-coding RNA. The record is from Ensembl. NCBI's taxonomy places the organism in Eukaryota, Metazoa, Chordata, Actinopteri, Cypriniformes, Cyprinidae.